RNAcentral lists this ribosomal RNA (253 nucleotides) under uncultured bacterium. RNAcentral's name for it is "partial 16S ribosomal RNA". It matches the Rfam family "Bacterial small subunit ribosomal RNA", at positions 524 to 776 of the family's 1533-position model. The record is from RNAcentral.
GACGUAGGGGGCGAGCGUUAUCCGGAAUCACUGGGCGUAAAGCGCACGUAGGCGGCUUUCUAAGUCAGGGGUGAAAUCCUGGAGCUCAACUCCAGAACUGCCUUUGAUACUGGAGAGCUUGAGUCCGGGAGAGGUGAGUGGAACUCCGAGUGUAGAGGUGAAAUUCGUAGAUAUUCGGAAGAACACCAGUGGCGAAGGCGGCUCACUGGCCCGGUACUGACGCUGAGGUGCGAAAGCGUGGGGAGCAAACAGG